GAUGAACGCUGGCGGCGUGCCUAAUACAUGCAAGUCGAGCGAACAGACGAGGAGCUUGCUCCUCUGACGUUAGCGGCGGACGGGUGAGUAACACGUGGAUAACCUACCUAUAAGACUGGGAUAACUUCGGGAAACCGGAGCUAAUACCGGAUAAUAUAUUGAACCGCAUGGUUCAAUAGUGAAAGACGGUUUUGCUGUCACUUAUAGAUGGAUCCGCGCCGCAUUAGCUAGUUGGUAAGGUAACGGCUUACCAAGGCAACGAUGCGUAGCCGACCUGAGAGAGUGGUCGGCAAAGCUGGAACUAAGACACGGUCCAGACUCCUACGGGAGGCAGCAGGAGGAAAUCUACCGCAAUGGGCGAAAGCUUGACGGAGCAACGCCGCGUGAGUGAUGAAGGUCUUCGGAUCGUAAAACGCUGUUAUUAGGAAAGAACAAAUGUGUAAGUAACUAUGCACGUCUGGACGGUACCUAAUCAGAAAGCCACGGCAAACUACGU
Molecule: ribosomal RNA, 496 nt
Filed under: uncultured bacterium
Lineage: Bacteria
Description: partial 16S ribosomal RNA
Rfam family: Bacterial small subunit ribosomal RNA
Source: RNAcentral